AGAGUUUGAUUUUGGCUCAGGAUGAACGCCGGCGGUGUGCCUAAUACAUGCAAGUCGUACGCACUGGCCCAACUGAUUGAUGGUGCUUGCACCUGAUUGACGAUGGAUCACCAGUGAGUGGCGGACGGGUGAGUAACACGUAGGUAACCUGCCUCGGAGCGGGGGAUAACAUUUGGAAACAGAUGCUAAUACCGCAUAACAACAAAAGCCACAUGGCUUUUGUUUGAAAGAUGGCUUUGGCUAUCACUCUGGGAUGGACCUGCGGUGCAUUAGCUAGUUGGUAAGGUAACGGCUUACCAAGGCAAUGAUGCAUAGCCGAGUUGAGAGACUGAUCGGCCACAAUGGAACUGAGACACGGUCCAUACUCCUACGGGAGGCAGCAGUAGGGAAUCUUCCACAAUGGGCGCAAGCCUGAUGGAGCAACACCGCGUGAGUGAAGAAGGGUUUCGGCUCGUAAAGCUCUGUUGUUGGAGAAGAACGUGCGUGAGAGUAACUGCUCACGCAGUGACGGUAUCCAACCAGAAAGUCACGGCUAACUACGUGCCAGCAGCCGCGGUAAUACGUAGGUGGCAAGCGUUAUCCGGAUUUAUUGGGCGUAAAGCGAGCGCAGGCGGUUGCUUAGGUCUGAUGUGAAAGCCUUCGGCUUAACCGAAGAAGUGCAUCGGAAACCGGGCGACUUGAGUGCAGAAGAGGACAGUGGAACUCCAUGUGUAGCGGUGGAAUGCGUAGAUAUAUGGAAGAACACCAGUGGCGAAGGCGGCUGUCUGGUCUGCAACUGACGCUGAGGCUCGAAAGCAUGGGUAGCGAACAGGAUUAGAUACCCUGGUAGUCCAUGCCGUAAACGAUGAGUG
This 851-nucleotide ribosomal RNA is filed under the name uncultured bacterium. RNAcentral describes it as "bacterial SSU rRNA". It matches the Rfam family "Bacterial small subunit ribosomal RNA", at positions 8 to 815 of the family's 1533-position model. The record is from RNAcentral.